UCCCACCCCAGUCUCUAUUGACCCAGCCAAUCACUGGCAACCAGUGUGAUUGGGAAACUGGCACACUUUCAGGUGCUACGACUUUCUCUUUUCUCAAAGAAGCAAAGAAAAACUUCGGAUAGAGGCAACCAAGUUACAGAAGUUCCCAUAGGUGCUUUGGGGAGAACAGAAGAAUCAGCUGGGCUUUCAGAGUCAAUCAAACAGAAAAGGGUCAGGAAAUCCAACAAGAAUCCAUAGAGGGCACAUGUGCAGAAAAAAAGCUGCAUGCAGUGCUCCACUGGAAAUGCACACUUUCCUUUCCUCUCCUAGGACAGCCAGUGGUGUACAAAGUCCAGGAGAAACGCCUAGGGAGUCAGACCUACGGGUCUGAAAAUACUCUCUGGCAGCGGGACAGCAUGACAGGCAGCAGAAAUAAGCUUAUACUGAGACCCUGCACUGUAGCGCAGAGAAGCGAGCAGAAAUUGCCACUUUCGAUUAGCACAGCAGAAGCAGCAAACUAGUAAUGGGAUUUCUUUCACUUUAAUUCACUAGUUGGUUGCCAUAAAUACUCUUCUGUAAAACAUGGAAUUCUGAAUGCUCCUCAGACAUUAUUUUCCUUUCAUGAAGAUGUUUGUUUACUUUGGCAGUGAUUCUCUUGGGAGAAACUCUAAUGACUUCCACUACCAAAAAAAAAAAAAAAAAAGAAAGAAAGAAAAAAAGAAACAGAAACUGCCACUAGCAAGCAAGAAAAUAUUAGUCUAAUGUACUGGUUAAACCCCAGGCAAAAAGAAGAAAAAGCAGAGUAAAUCACUGGUUUGCAUUCCUGUGACCAGAAUCCAUAUCCUGCAAGUUUAGCAGGCAGUGGAGGCCUUGUGGUGGAAGAAGGACUUUGAAUAAGGAACAAACGCUGCCCAUCUCCUAUGAAUUUUAUGAUUUUUUAGCUUUAAAAAAUGAACACAACAUGGGCACGUGGGCACGGGAACAACAGAACAAAGCGAACCAUGUCAAGCCCUCAUGUUAUGUUUUCUCUCUGCUUUUAAUUUUAUUCUGACAUACGGUGAUCAAACAAUGGUUUAUUUUCCAUAUUUUUUACAUGUAGAUGAUUAACAAUUUCUUUCUUUUAAAGAAAAAAAGCAUGGGGAAAGAACGUACGUUACUGUGACUCAACAGACUGCUCACUGCUGAAAAAGACUUGCCCACCUCCUUUAUAGCAAUGCAUGAGUUUUGUUUUCGGGGUUUAAAAAAAUCAAGAACAGAAAAACAGUAAAUAAAACCCAUUGAUAUAAAUCUUUAGACAUCUUUUUCCUGUGAAAUGUCAAACUUCAUCAUGUGUUUUUCUUACUGAAUAACAACCUGCAGUCCCAGACUGUUUUCCACGUUUCCAUGGGAGGAAGAAGUCAUUAACAAAAAAUCAACUUUAAGGUUAAGAGGAAGCGGCUCUAUCAGAAGCACGUUAGUCAUGUAUUUUUGUUACCAGUUAGAACAAUGUGCUGUUCCUGGAAUGCAUAUGCAGGCUCAUUUCAAAGCUUAGGCUGAUGUAUGAAGCAGACACAUGCCACAGACCACAGACAGGAGACAGUGCUUCUCCCAACAGCCCAACUACAGGUGACAUUGAGACAGACCUGCCAGCAGAGCCCCUGAGAACAGGGCAGGACAGGCAGAGCCACCGAAAUACAGAGCUUGGUAAAAGGUGCCCAGGAACAAACCAGAGAGAAGAUGGGAAAAGAGAGAAGGUAAAAUUGCCAAGAGAAAAAAAAUGUUUUCUUGUAGCUGCAGAGCCUUGGAAGAUGGGUCAAAUGGAGCAGUAAAUCACUGUAAGUGGUGAAAGACCUAUAAAUGUUGUGGGCUCUGGAAAGAAGAGUUUGUUGCAUUACAAGCAGCCACAGAUACUCACUGUGCCGAGCCACUCCACAACAAAAAGGCUUUUUGAAGUUAGUCCUAACUACCUGUAGCUAUGCUUACUUUUAACUGUAACAUGCAAUAAGGAAAAAAAGAAAAGAAAAGAGAAGAGAAGAGAAGAGAAGAGAAGAGAAGAGAAGAGAAGAGAAGAGAAGAGAAGAGAAGAGAAGAGAAGAGAAGAAAAGAAAAGAAAAGAAAAGAAAAGAAAAGAAAAGAAAAGAAAAGAAAAGAAAAGAAAAGAAAAGAAAAGAAAAGAAAAGAAAAGAAAAGAAAAGAAAAGAAAAGAAAAGAAAAGAAAAGAAAAGAAAAGAAAAGAAAAGAAGCCAGAGAAGCAGCUUUUUGCAUUGGAAUGAAAGCAAAGAUAAUUUUUAGCUUAGCAUGUUAUUUGCAGCCCAUACUCAAAAUCACAGCCACUGGGACCUUCCAAAAAAACUAUUGGGAGGGGAACAACAGAUUCUGGAAGCACAGUUAUUUCCUUUUUUAUGUGCUAGGUUCCCAGUAUUCUGGUGUUCGUGGUAAUUUACAAAAUGAGGAAGCACUGAAGUAGCUCUGCAAAGACAUAAAAGUCUACGUAUCAUAGUUUGAUUGUUAUCCAUUUCAUGACUGAUCACAAAUUCCCCACAAUUAUAACACAUCCUUCGUGGUAUCGGAUUAGAAAAAGGUACGGAUUCUACACCAAGAACCUGCAUUUUUAAAGAAGUUAAACCCACAGACUACUCCAAGGAAGAGAGCAUUUCAGCACAAUCCCUUCCAGCUUUUAUAACUACUAAAAGUUUAGAGGUUUUUUUUUGUUCAAGCAGAAAAACAGAAUGAUGGUCCAAAAUUCUGUCUCACACAAUAGUACCAUCUCUCUAACACUGGCCAAUAGCAGGUGUUAUUCUCCUGGUCUUAUGAAAAGGAAAGAACUUAAGCUGUGCACAGCAAUUUCCAGAGGAGGCAAUAACCACUCAGGGGUACAAUUCAGAAGUACUGCCUAGAUGAGUGCUUUCGUGCCACCUAAGUUCCAGCCAGAAGAGGUGCUUUGGAAUCCUUACAGCUUACCAGAUUUGUCUUAAUAAAGCUCAUUGUGAUUUGUCUUUAUGCUUUCUCUUCUCUAGCAUUGCUUGUUUAUCUUGGCACGCAGAAUUUCAUGCACAGUGGAUGAUGCAGAACACAGCAAGAUGAACUCAGAUGGCCACUGUCUUUACUGCGCUGACAAACCCUGGAGAGCUGUUAGCCUCAGUUCCGCACAGGCCUCCCAAAUGAAGUGGACAUCUGGCAUGUUUGUUACAGUGAAUAGACAGAAGCAGGAUGAUUAAUGGCUGCCAGAAUCAUAACUUAGGUAUAUAUGGUUUUACCUGUUCGACAGUUUGUUUUGCCACAUUGUUCAAUGCACGUGUUACAUGCAGUAAUAUUGCACAUGGCCAGAUACCCACCCCUCCUGGUGUUUGCUGUAUCCUCUCAGCCACUUACUGGAGUUGCAUUACUCCUUCUAGCUCCCUCAGCUCAUCCAGGACAGGAGUUCUGCUCUGAAAUCAGAAUGAAGAGCCCAAGCAUCCCACUAUCACCUAAGUUCUGGAAAGGCAAAUCUAGCAGACCUCCAAGCUGCAAACAGUUGAGGUAGCUGAAAGAAGAGGCUAAGCAUGUCAAGCUUCCUACACAUCCAUUUAGGCAUGUGUUUUCAGACAGUCUUUCCUACUGCCCAGCCCAAAAAAGGUCUCCAAAAAGGGGCAGCUAAGAAAAAGGAAAGCAGGGUUACAGGGAAGAACUAAAAAAUAAUGCACUGGAGUGUGAAGGCCACAUGGCCAAAUGGAGAAACUGAGAAGUGGAGAGGAAAAAGAAAACUCCAAGGACUGGGCCCAUGACUUCUUGAAAGGAAAUGAUUUGAUGAAGAAGCUAGAAUUUAUGGCCACAGCAAACAGGAGCUAAGAGCUCAUAGCUCUCAGAGGCAGGAGAAACCAGAUGCACAGCUGGAAGGAUGAGUGGUUUGACUCAGUUAGGCCAUUCUUGCUUGUGUCAGAGUCAAGAAGCCUAUUUGUACCACAAGACCGAUGAGCACCAAAGAGCUCCUGGACAGGAUACAGACAUGAGCUUUCCUCAAAAUCAGCAAGGAGAGAUGAGGUUUCUCUCUCUAAAUGUACCUGUAUUAGGAAAAGAUGAAUCACUUUGGUAGCACCUGUCUCUUGUUUGCAGAUUAGGCAACUAAUUCAGAGUGGAUGCUUAGUUUAUACACAGUUAAAAAUAGAAGAGAUUUCCUCUAUGAAAGUUGUUUUAAUAAGUGUGUAUAACUGGGGCAGAUAGCUACCAUGGCAGAGAUAAGCUGUCACAGAGGAUGUGAGUGCUCUUGUCUUCCAACUGAUUUAAAAGAACUUGUGAACUCCACAACAGCAAGAAUUGGGACUCAAGCAAGGGGACAAACACUACAGUCAAAGAAGUUCCUGCCUUACUUGCUAGCAACAGGCAGCUGGCCAUCGGGGAGAACAGUGCAGCACUACUUCACCAUUGUUAGAUGCCAGCAAAUGCCCCAGGUGCGGGACAGCUUCUGUUCAGGCUUGCACAUAACCAAACAUCAGGCAUGUGACACGAAGGCAAAGGGAAGCUGGAUCCUACCAGUUCUACAGCUCUCUGAAGCCAUGUUUAUGAGGACUGUGCCAUGAAGCAACUCGCUAUUCAGUGAGCAACCAUCACUCGGCUGGCAGCAUUCACUCGGCAUGCAAUCAUCAACAGGGCCUUGAUCUGUACCCUGUUUUUUGCUACUUGUAAGAUGGCUGCAGAGCUCCUGAAACAGAAUGGAUGCCAAUAUAAUGAACAAUUCUGAAAUAUUAACUGAAAUAUAAGAAAAAAGUAGCAAUUAGUCUUCUACGCUGCACAUGUAUUUGCAUGGCAAGCCUGCAAAGUGGCAUAAAUAUCUAAAUAUACACACCCAUGCAGGCUCACUCCUAUAUACAGGAACACGAUCGCACCAAAGAAGACUGUAGACACGUGGAACUAAACAUUUUUCCCUUACAGUUUAUACACAUUUAAUAAACACAUAGAUUUAAUGAUUAAAGCACUGGUUCAGGCCAAACAUCCAUUGGGCAAAUGGAAAGUAGCCACACAGCUUCUGACAGGGGCCACUAAUGGAUGCCUAUGGAGAAGUAGGAUAGGCCAGGCAUACACUGACACUUCUCAAGUGUGCUAUCACUCACUCUGCAGAUGUGCACCACUGUCACCACUGAGUUAAAGCUUUUCCAGCCAACAAGCAGAGGUCCUUUAUUUUGUUCAAGGAUAUCUAGAUCUGCAUUACACCUAUAGCUGCUGAACUACUUACUUGUGUUCAACACUGUUGCUAAAAGCCAUGCUUCCAGAACCAUAAAAAAGGGUAAAAACCCAUGUUUAGCAUUGCCUGUCCAGGAAAUACCACCAAGGGCUAUCCACAUGCAGGCCUAUCCUCAGGCCUGCCUUAGCCUGGGCUUUCCUUGGGUCAGUGGAGGGCGUGGAAGAUGGGCUGCAUGACUCAAAGAGGUCCUAGAACAUGUCCAAAGAAGGGCAGCAGAGCUGGCAAAGGGUCUGGAGUACAGGUCUUGAGAGGAGCGGCUGAGGGAACUGGUUUUGUAGAGGAGGUUCA
Gallus gallus (chicken) is the source of this 5464-nucleotide long non-coding RNA. Lineage: Eukaryota; Metazoa; Chordata; Aves; Galliformes; Phasianidae. The record is from Ensembl.